Molecule: long non-coding RNA, 235 nt
Filed under: Lathyrus oleraceus (garden pea)
Lineage: Eukaryota; Viridiplantae; Streptophyta; Magnoliopsida; Fabales; Fabaceae
Description: Pisum sativum (pea) long non-coding RNA (PSAT_LNC042141)
Source: RNAcentral
AUGAGAAUGGUGUUUUAAAAUUGGUAAUCGGGUGUGUAUUCCGGAUGUUACCGAGCUUAAGAAGAGUAUUCUUGAGGAAGGACAUCGUAGUGGCUUGAGUAUCCAUCCUGGAGCUACGAAGAGUGUAUCAUGAUUAAGAAGUUAUUUGGUGGCCGGGAAUGAAAAGAGAAAUUGCAAGUUUUGUGUAUUCCUGUUUGACUUGUCAGAAGUCGAAGAUUGAGCAUCAGAAGCCGUC